GACGAACGCUGGCGGCGUGCUUUAGACAUGCAAGUCGAACGAGAUCUUCGGAUCUAGUGGCGAACGGGCGGAGUAAUACAUAAAACAACGUGCCCUGAAGACUGGGAUAUACGGUCGAAAGGCCGAGCAAUACCGGAUGUGGCCGAGACUAGGCAUCUAGACUCGAUUAAAUGGUUUUCGCUUCAGGAGCGGUUUAUGACUCAUCAGCUAGUUGGUAGGGUAAUGGCCUACCAAGGCUACGACGGGUAGGGGGUCUGAGAGGAUGAUCCCCCGAGUGGGACUGAGACACGGCCCACACACCUACGGGUGCAGCAGUUUGGAAUCUUGCCCAAUGGGGGAAACCCUGAGGCAGCGACGCCGCGUGGAGGAUGAAGGAUUUAGGCUGUAAACUCCUUUUGCCAGGAAAGACUUAGGACGGUACCUGGCGAAUAAGCUCCGGCUAACUACGUGCCAGCAGCCGCGGUAAU
This 467-nucleotide ribosomal RNA is filed under the name uncultured bacterium. Its description in RNAcentral is "bacterial SSU rRNA". It matches the Rfam family "Bacterial small subunit ribosomal RNA", at positions 28 to 524 of the family's 1533-position model. The record is from RNAcentral.